CUGUCCAGUAAAGACCUCUGACAGAUAAGAUGAAUGACUUGAAGGCAAUCCUUGAGCCCUCUAUUUCCAAGAUUUUGAAGGAAGAUUUUCUGGGGCAGAAUUACUGCAAAACUCAAGCUAUAGAAAUAGAGGGAGGACAAUACCGUCCCAUCUCUUGACUCAGAAAGAUGCACAAGAAGAGGAGGAUAUCAUGGAAGCCAAGACUUAGUGAAAGUCAUUCUAGUCCAUGACAAGCUUCAGUGAGCCUCUGGGAAGUUAGUGAAGGCCAAUCCCAGGGGUUUUUGAGAUGAGAAUCCAGAGGAUGUGAGGCCUGCUACACUCCAAUUGAAAAAGGGAUAUUGACAACGUAUGAAGGGAUCUAAGCUUCUUUGAAAUGCUUGGUAUUGAAGCACAUUUCCUUUUGGCACCCUGACUGCCUGUGCUGGGCUGGAUGUUCAGAGGGGUGGCUCCCCUCCACACAUCAUGCAACUGAUGCUACGUGGAGUAAGUGGGUCUCACCAAUCACACAGUGGACUCAAAUAGGGAAUUCCAGUUGUCCAGGAAUCUUAGAAGUGAUUAUGGCCUGGCCCAAAGGCAAAAAUUUCGGAAUAUUGCCAGAAGAGGCUCUGCUAUAUAAUAAACUGCCAGAAAAUAUGCCUUGGUCACGGAUCAGUCCUGUCACAUUGUGAGAAGUCAUCGAAUGUGGAAAGCUACUGUGUGGAGUCCUACACAAUGAACUGCAGAAACUACUGAAGGAGAAGUGAAACCGAAGAAUGGAGGGCUUGUUAAUGCAGUCUGCAUCAACUCUAUGGCUAAUUGCUGCUAGAAUUUUUAUGACUGCUUUGUGGUAAAGAUGGUAUCACUGAGACUUAUUUUGGAUGAAUCAUUCAGAUGAGAGAACAAGAAUGUGAAAUGCUUAUGAGGAAAUCGUGAAGGCAAGAAGAUCUUGACUUCCCCAGUCUUAUGGAAAAUGACAGUAGCAUUCCUUAUGUAUAAAUAUGCACAACAACUUUUGCAGUACACGC
This is a long non-coding RNA of Gallus gallus (chicken), 1004 nucleotides long. The record is from Ensembl. NCBI's taxonomy places the organism in Eukaryota, Metazoa, Chordata, Aves, Galliformes, Phasianidae.